CUGUGUGUGUGUGUGUGUGUGUGUGUGUGUGUGGGAGAGAGAGAGAGACUUACAAGAACAAAAGCAGGUCUCUCCAUCCUUAAUUGUCUAAACAACCUUAAUUGACUAAUCAUAAACA
Molecule: long non-coding RNA, 118 nt
Organism: Hippocampus comes (tiger tail seahorse)
Lineage: Eukaryota; Metazoa; Chordata; Actinopteri; Syngnathiformes; Syngnathidae
Exons: 3
Source: RefSeq, a predicted model, not a curated record